AGAGUUUGAUCCUGGCUCAGAUUGAACGCUGGCGGCAUGCCUAAUACAUGCAAGUCGAACGGGGUGUUUGAGCAAUCGGACACUUAGUGGCGAACGGGUGAGUAACGCGUUGGUGACCUGCCCCAAAGCGGGGGAUAACAGCCUGAAAGGGUUGCUAAUACCGCAUAUGAUGAUGAGAGACUAGAAACUUAUCAUUAAAGGAGAAAUCCACUUUGGGAGGGGCCUGCGUCCCAUCAGCUAGUUGGUAGGGUAAAAGCCUACCAAGGCGAAGACGGGUAGGGGACCUGAGAGGGUGACCCCCCACAAUGGAACUGAAACACGGUCCAUACACCUACGGGUGGCAGCAGUAGGGGAUAUUGCACAAUGGGCGGAAGCCUGAUGCAGCAACGCCGCGUGAGUGAUGAAGGCCCUCGGGUCGUAAAACUCUUUUCAAGAGGAAGAGGAAGGACGGUACUCUUGGAAUAAGCCUCGGCUAACUACGUGCCAGCAGCCGCGGUAAUA
This 501-nucleotide ribosomal RNA is filed under the name uncultured bacterium. Its description in RNAcentral is "bacterial SSU rRNA". It matches the Rfam family "Bacterial small subunit ribosomal RNA", at positions 8 to 525 of the family's 1533-position model. The record is from RNAcentral.